ACGGGUGAGUAAUGUCUGGGAAACUGCCUGAUGGAGGGGGAUAACUACUGGAAACGGUAGCUAAUACCGCAUGACGUCUUCGGACCAAAGUGGGGGACCUUCGGGCCUCACGCCAUCAGAUGUGCCCAGAUGGGAUUAGCUAGUAGGUGGGGUAAUGGCUCACCUAGGCGACGAUCUCUAGCUGGUCUGAGAGGAUGACCAGCCACACUGGAACUGAGACACGGUCCAGACUCCUACGGGAGGCAGCAGUGGGGAAUAUUGCACAAUGGGCGCAAGCCUGAUGCAGCCAUGCCGCGUGUAUGAAGAAGGCCUUCGGGUUGUAAAGUACUUUCAGCGAGGAGGAAGGCAUUGUGGUUAAUAACCACAGUGAUUGACGUUACUCGCAGAAGAAGCACCGGCUAACUCCGUGCCAGCAGCCGCGGUAAUACGGAGGGUGCAAGCGUUAAUCGGAAUUACUGGGCGUAAAGCGCACGCAGGCGGUUGAUUAAGUCAGAUGUGAAAUCCCCGAGCUUAACUUGGGAACUGCAUUUGAAACUGGUCAGCUAGAGUCUUGUAGAGGGGGGUAGAAUUCCAGGUG
This 577-nucleotide ribosomal RNA is filed under the name uncultured bacterium. RNAcentral describes it as "bacterial SSU rRNA". It matches the Rfam family "Bacterial small subunit ribosomal RNA", at positions 102 to 675 of the family's 1533-position model. The record is from RNAcentral.